This 443-nucleotide ribosomal RNA is filed under the name uncultured bacterium. RNAcentral's name for it is "partial 16S ribosomal RNA". It matches the Rfam family "Bacterial small subunit ribosomal RNA", at positions 338 to 795 of the family's 1533-position model. The record is from RNAcentral.
CCUACGGGUGGCAGCAGUGGGGAAUAUUGGGCAAUGGAGGAAACUCUGACCCAGCAACGCCGCGUGAAUGAUGAAGGCCUUCGGGUUGUAAAGUUCUUUUCUAAGGGAAGAGGAAAGUGACGUUACCGUAGGAAUAACCCUCGGCUAACUACGGGCAAGCAGCCGCGGUAAUAGGUAGGAGGCGAGCGUUAUCCGGAAUGACUGGGGGUAAAGGGUGGGUAGGUGGUUUGGCAAGUUAGUAGCGAAACCCCAAGGCUCAACCUUGGAACUACUACUAAAACUGUUGGACUUGAGUGCAGGAGGGGCAACCGGAAUUCCUAGUGUAGCGGUGGAAUGCGUAGAUAUAUGGAGGAACACCAGUGGCGAAGGCGACGAUCUGGGAAGCAACAGACGCUGAGUCCCGAAAGCGUGGGGAGCAAAUAGGAUUAGAUACCCUAGUAGUC